This 684-nucleotide ribosomal RNA is filed under the name uncultured bacterium. RNAcentral describes it as "bacterial SSU rRNA". It matches the Rfam family "Bacterial small subunit ribosomal RNA", at positions 8 to 684 of the family's 1533-position model. The record is from RNAcentral.
AGAGUUUGAUCCUGGCUCAGGAUGAACGCUAGCGGCAGGCCUAACACAUGCAAGUCGAACGGUAACAGGGAAAAGCUUGCUUUUCCGCUGACGAGUGGCGCACGGGUGCGCAACGCGUAUAGAACCUACCCUGUACAGGGGGAUAGCCCGGAGAAAUCCGGAUUAAUACCCCGUGGUAAUUAGAAUUGGCAUCGAUUUUAAUUUAAAGCUUCGGCGGUACGGGAUGGCUAUGCGUCCUAUUAGCUAGAUGGUAAGGUAACGGCUUACCAUGGCUAUGAUAGGUAGGGGCCCUGAGAGGGGGAUCCCCCACACUGGUACUGAGACACGGACCAGACUCCUACGGGAGGCAGCAGUGAGGAAUAUUGGUCAAUGGACGAGAGUCUGAACCAGCCAUGCCGCGUGCAGGAAGAAUGCCUUUGGGUUGUAAACUGCUUUUAUAUAGGAAGAACUGUAGAGACUUGUCUUUAUUUGACGGUACUAUAUGAAUAAGGACCGGCUAACUACGUGCCAGCAGCCGCGGUAAUACGUAGGGUCCGAGCGUUAUCCGGAAUUAUUGGGUUUAAAGGGUCCGUAGGCGGGCUUAUAAGUCAGAGGUGAAAUCUUACAGCUUAACUGUGAAAUUGCCUUUGAUACUGUAGGUCUUGAGUGUGAAUGAAGUGGGCGGAAUGAGAUGUGUAGCGGUGA